GAGGGGAGGUUAAACCAACGAGAACUGCUAAUUCUUGAAUCUGAGCAUAAAACCUCAGUCCCCUUA
Molecule: transfer RNA, 66 nt
Filed under: Pseudonestor xanthophrys
Lineage: Eukaryota; Metazoa; Chordata; Aves; Passeriformes; Fringillidae
Description: tRNA-Ser
Source: RNAcentral